RNAcentral lists this long non-coding RNA (1044 nucleotides) under Zonotrichia albicollis (white-throated sparrow). RNAcentral describes it as "lncRNA (ENSZALG00000013156.1)". The record is from RNAcentral. Lineage: Eukaryota; Metazoa; Chordata; Aves; Passeriformes; Passerellidae.
GUGCAGGCUGCACCCUGGCAAGCAGAGCCUGUGCAUUCGGAAUGAAAGCUUCCUUCCCUACACUCCAGUGUUAAGGAAGGGUCAGGGAAUGCAAGCAACAGGUAUUUCUCAUGUGAUCUGCACAGGGCAAGGGGGAAUGGCUUUAAGUGAAAGAAGACAGACUUAGAUUGAACAUUAGUAGGAAAUUCUUCCCUGUGAGGGUGGGGAUGCCCUGGCACAGGGUGCCCAGAGCAGCUGUGGCUGUCCCUGGCUCCCUGGCAGUGUCCAAGGCCAGGCUGGAUGGGGCUUGGGGCAACCUGGGAUAGGGGAAGGUGUCCCUGCUGCCCAUGGCAGGUUGGGAAAAAGGUAGUCUUUAAACCCAACCAUUCCAUGAUUCUGUCCCCAGAGCAGGAGAAACCUCUUCCCUGAUCAGGAAAAGCAGAAAAAUUUUGGUGCUGCCCCCUGAUCCGAGGGCUGUUGCUGGCCCUUCACGGCAAGGACCGUCCUCUCUGGGGACCCCGGCCUGGGCCCCAAACCCUCGGAUUCCUUGGCACUAGAUGGAGCACGUGAGCUUCCAGCAAAGCCAGAGCAGCCCUGGAGAAGGUCCUGCCCUGUCUGAUCAGCUCUGUUCGGCUUUGGUUCGCCAGUCCAGCCCUGCCAGGGAGGUAACUGGGACAGAGGGAGAUGGAGGAGCCUCUUUUUCCCCAGCAGAGCCUUCAGUUCAUGCCUGAGGGCUCAGGUCUGUCUUAUUUCCAUCCUCUCCCUGCCCCUGGCAUCUCCUGCAGCUGGAUGGUUGUUGGCACCUACCAAAGGCAGGUGUGCUGGAGGAGGAAAAGGAAGAGGAAAAGAUCUGAUUGCUGUGGAGCACAUUCCCCAUGCAUGGCAUCAUCCAGAAUGAAGCUGGAAAGGCCUUUUCCUGGUGCAUUUAGAAAGUCACAGGCAUGUUUAGUUUUGGGAGCAGUCAUGCACUUGGCAGUAAGAACAGCAGAUAUGGAUCCUGGAGCAAGGGAAGCUGCGUGGCUGUUGGAUGGGAUCUGCCAGCUGAGUCACACGAGGCACAUCUGA